UACGUAGGGGGCAAGCGUUGUCCGGAAUCAUUGGGCGUAAAGAGCGUGUAGGCGGCUUGGCAAGUCUGGUGUGAAAUCUUGCGGCUCAACCGCAAGCGGUCACUGGAAACUGCCUCGCUAGAGUCCGGAAGAGGAGAGCGGAAUUCCUGGUGUAGCGGUGGAAUGCGCAGAUAUCAGGAAGAACACCCGUGGCGAAGGCGGCUCUCUGGGACGGUACUGACGCUGAGACGCGAAAGCGUGGGGAGCGAACAGG
This 253-nucleotide ribosomal RNA is filed under the name uncultured bacterium. RNAcentral's name for it is "partial 16S ribosomal RNA". It matches the Rfam family "Bacterial small subunit ribosomal RNA", at positions 524 to 776 of the family's 1533-position model. The record is from RNAcentral.